This 226-nucleotide ribosomal RNA is filed under the name uncultured bacterium. RNAcentral describes it as "partial 16S ribosomal RNA". It matches the Rfam family "Bacterial small subunit ribosomal RNA", at positions 113 to 334 of the family's 1533-position model. The record is from RNAcentral.
CGACGUAGGUAACCUGCCUGGUAGCGGGGGAUAACUAUUGGAAACGAUAGCUAAUACCGCAUAACAGUAGAUAUCGCAUGAUAUUUGCUUGAAAGGUGCAAUUGCACCACUACCAGAUGGACCUGCGUUGUAUUAGCUAGUUGGUGAGGUAACGGCUCACCAAGGCAACGAUACAUAGCCGACCUGAGAGGGUGACCGGCCACAUUGGGACUGAGACACGGCCCAA